ACAAAGGACGACAUUAGACGAAUCAUCUGGAAAGAUGAAUCAAAGAAGGUAAUAAUCCUGUAGUCGAAAAUGUUGUCUCUCUUGAGUGGAUCCUGAGUACGACGGAGCACGUGAAAUUCCGUCGGAAUCUGGGAGGACCAUCUCCUAAGGCUAAAUACUCUCUAGUGACCGAUAGUGAACCAGUACCGUGAGGGAAAGGUGAAAAGCACCCCGGAAGGGGAGUGAAAUAGAACCUGAAACCGUGUGCUUACAAGUAGUCAGAGCCCGUUAAUGGGUGAUGGCGUGCCUUUUGUAGAAUGAACCGGCGAGUUACGAUUUGAUGCAAGGUUAAGCAGUAAAUGUGGAGCCGUAGCGAAAGCGAGUCUGAAUAGGGCGUUUAGUAUUUGGUCGUAGACCCGAAACCAGGUGAUCUACCCUUGGUCAGGUUGAAGUUCAGGUAACACUGAAUGGAGGACCGAACCGACUUACGUUGAAAAGUGAGCGGAUGAACUGAGGGUAGCGGAGAAAUUCCAAUCGAACCUGGAGAUAGCUGGUUCUCUCCGAAAUAGCUUUAGGGCUAGCCUCAAGUGAUGAUUAUUGGAGGUAGAGCACUGUUUGGACGAGGGGCCCCUCUCGGGUUACCGAAUUCAGACAAACUCCGAAUGCCAAUUAAUUUAACUUGGGAGUCAGAACAUGGGUGAUAAGGUCCGUGUUCGAAAGGGAAACAGCCCAGACCACCAGCUAAGGUCCCAAAAUAUAUGUUAAGUGGAAAAGGAUGUGGCGUUGCCCAGACAACUAGGAUGUUGGCUUAGAAGCAGCCAUCAUUUAAAGAGUGCGUAAUAGCUCACUAGUCGAGUGACACUGCGCCGAAAAUGUACCGGGGCUAAACAUAUUACCGAAGCUGUGGAUUGUCCUUUGGACAAUGGUAGGAGAGCGUUCUAAGGGCGUUGAAGCAUGAUCGUAAGGACAUGUGGAGCGCUUAGAAGUGAGAAUGCCGGUGUGAGUAGCGAAAGACGGGUGAGAAUCCCGUCCACCGAUUGACUAAGGUUUCCAGAGGAAGGCUCGUCCGCUCUGGGUUAGUCGGGUCCUAAGCUGAGGCCGACAGGCGUAGGCGAUGGAUAACAGGUUGAUAUUCCUGUACCACCUAUAAUCGUUUUAAUCGAUGGGGGGACGCAGUAGGAUAGGCGAAGCGUGCGAUUGGAUUGCACGUCUAAGCAGUAAGGCUGAGUAUUAGGCAAAUCCGGUACUCAUUAAGGCUGAGCUGUGAUGGGGAGAAGACAUUGUGUCUUCGAGUCGUUGAUUUCACACUGCCGAGAAAAGCCUCUAGAUAGAAAAUAGGUGCCCGUACCGCAAACCGACACAGGUAGUCAAGAUGAGAAUUCUAAGGUGAGCGAGCGAACUCUCGUUAAGGAACUCGGCAAAAUGACCCCGUAACUUCGGGAGAAGGGGUGCUCUUUAGGGUUAACGCCCAGAAGAGCCGCAGUGAAUAGGCCCAAGCGACUGUUUAUCAAAAACACAGGUCUCUGCUAAACCGUAAGGUGAUGUAUAGGGGCUGACGCCUGCCCGGUGCUGGAAGGUUAAGAGGAGUGGUUAGCUUCUGCGAAGCUACGAAUCGAAGCCCCAGUAAACGGCGGCCGUAACUAUAACGGUCCUAAGGUAGCGAAAUUCCUUGUCGGGUAAGUUCCGACCCGCACGAAAGGCGUAACGAUUUGGGCACUGUCUCAACGAGAGACUCGGUGAAAUCAUAGUACCUGUGAAGAUGCAGGUUACCCGCGACAGGACGGAAAGACCCCGUGGAGCUUUACUGUAGCCUGAUAUUGAAAUUCGGCACAGCUUGUACAGGAUAGGUAGGAGCCUUUGAAACGUGAGCGCUAGCUUACGUGGAGGCGCUGGUGGGAUACUACCCUAGCUGUGUUGGCUUUCUAACCCGCACCACUUAUCGUGGUGGGAGACAGUGUCAGGCGGGCAGUUUGACUGGGGCGGUCGCCUCCUAAAAGGUAACGGAGGCGCUCAAAGGUUCCCUCAGAAUGGUUGGAAAUCAUUCAUAGAGUGUAAAGGCAUAAGGGAGCUUGACUGCGAGACCUACAAGUCGAGCAGGGUCGAAAGACGGACUUAGUGAUCCGGUGGUUCCGCAUGGAAGGGCCAUCGCUCAACGGAUAAAAGCUACCCCGGGGAUAACAGGCUUAUCUCCCCCAAGAGUUCACAUCGACGGGGAGGUUUGGCACCUCGAUGUCGGCUCAUCGCAUCCUGGGGCUGUAGUCGGUCCCAAGGGUUGGGCUGUUCGCCCAUUAAAGCGGUACGCGAGCUGGGUUCAGAACGUCGUGAGACAGUUCGGUCCCUAUCCGUCGUGGGCGUAGGAAAUUUGAGAGGAGCUGUCCUUAGUACGAGAGGACCGGGAUGGACAUACCUCUGGUGUACCAGUUGUCGUGCCAACGGCAUAGCUGGGUAGCUAUGUGUGGACGGGAUAAGUGCUGAAAGCAU
RNAcentral lists this ribosomal RNA (2460 nucleotides) under Staphylococcus aureus. RNAcentral's name for it is "partial 23S ribosomal RNA". It matches the Rfam family "Bacterial large subunit ribosomal RNA", at positions 316 to 2780 of the family's 2925-position model. The record is from RNAcentral. Lineage: Bacteria; Bacillati; Bacillota; Bacilli; Caryophanales; Staphylococcaceae.